AGGAGGCAUCGCCUCUCUUUCUCCCUGCCUCCGGCGUUCUCCUGGCUCCCUCCGGCGAAUUCUCUACCGCCGUCAUCGCAGCUCGCCGUCCGGCAGCUCUCCCAUCACUCCUUGCUCCAAAGCUAAGUUUUUUUCCUCUCAUUUAUUUCCUUGUAACAAUACUAUGUUUCAAAGAUGAAGUCUUAGUGUAUCUUACUGUGUGAUGUUGAAACCAUCUUGGGUAGUAAUUUAAUUGGGGAAAACUUUGAUAUCAAAACUUGUACAUGAGGCCUACUGUGUUGGUUUGUAUUCUUACUCAAAGUAUGGGUUCUAUCAGUCGAUAUUGCUAAGUUCACAUUGGAUUUUUGAGCACCUAUAGUUCUAAGUUCUUGAUUAUCUAUGAUUGGCUAUCAUGAUGCAUUGGUGAGGGUGGGCUAUGGAAUACCUCUCCUUUGCGAUUCUCGUUUUACGGCUGCUUCUCCGUGUUGCCGCUGCCCCUCCUCGCCUUCUUGCUCCUCCCGAUUCCUUGCUGCACUCCUUGAUUGUGAGUGAAUUUGUGGUUUCUGGGGAGGGAGUCAGGGGCGGUUUAUGGUGGUUUAUAUAGGCGAAGUGUGGUGUACUCGUGAGGCCUUAAAUGGCUGUCAAAGCUCUUUGUUUUCAUGCUGCAGAUGGCACCUUUAGUUUACUUCCUUUGUCUCUUUCUUGAAACAUAAGUACUACCUUCAUUAGGUUACUUUGUUUGAUGUGCAGGGGAAGCAGGUGGCUGUUCGGUUUGGGCUGAUUUGGCGCAGCUGGAGGGACACGUUUUGGGCUAGCUGAUCAGCAAGGUAUCGGUCAAAGGAUAGGUUGCCACUCCAAAAGAGGCAAGUCUCAAAUUCUUGGCAGCAAUGAGAGCUCUCGGUUUGGUGCAUUGGCUGUGUAGGAGUGUACCUCCCAUUUUGGGAUCAUUUAGACCUCCUUUGGUUCUUGCAGGUUUAAUGGCAGAUAAAGGAAAAGGGUUUUUUUAAAAAAAAAUUGGGGAUGUGGCCUGGGAUCGAGACGAGGCAGUCGGGCUGGCUGCACGGGCCUUCGGGCUGCCCUCUAAGUCUUUGGGCCGAAAGAAAUCUCGUGUUCGAGAGUCGAGGCCCAACUCUUUGUAUAUUUGUAUUCUUAAAUUCUUUUUUUUUUUUUUUGUCAACACAUGUGUAAAUCAUUUUUAUUUCUUGACGUUUAUUGUAUUUCACACGUAUAUACGAAAAUCUGUUUUAGUUUGA
Long non-coding RNA from Salvia hispanica, 1232 nucleotides. RefSeq lists it as uncharacterized. The record is from RefSeq and is a predicted model, not a curated record. NCBI's taxonomy places the organism in Eukaryota, Viridiplantae, Streptophyta, Magnoliopsida, Lamiales, Lamiaceae.